Chelonia mydas (Green sea turtle) is the source of this 2267-nucleotide long non-coding RNA. RefSeq lists it as uncharacterized. The transcript has 3 exons. The record is from RefSeq and is a predicted model, not a curated record. Lineage: Eukaryota; Metazoa; Chordata; Testudines; Cheloniidae.
ACUUAAUUUAGCCCUGCAGGACCAUUAUUACCAGUGUGACGGGGUGGACCGGCCCCGCACGGGGACUGAGAGGGUUAACCCUUCCCUCCUAGCAGACGAAGCCAUGCCCCUGAGGCUCUGCUGGGCAUGCUCUGCCUGGAAGUCAGGUAUAAAAGCCUGCAGAGCUGUUCAGUCAGGGCUGGCAGCUGAGGAGGAAGGAUGCUCAGCAGAGGCUCCAGCCCAGGAGCCGUUACAGCCCUUACCGGGGAGAGCUGAAGAGCCAGGAACCUGGACCAGAGGCCCACAGCUAUCGGAACCCCAGGAAGCAUCUGGUGCUGAGAGCCUUGGAGACCCUGAUGCCACAGGGACUAUGGCGACUGGUAGGAAGAGACCCAGGGAAGAAAUGGACACCAGAAGUCCCAAGGGGUCUCCUGAGGAUGUAAUGCUUCAAUGUACAGAGUUUGUUGCUCCAUGACUAAAGGAGAAUUUCUCAUCACUUGUUGCUGGAAUGGCUUUUUGUAUGGUCCAUAAUUUUUUCUUAGUUUUCCCUCCUUUCCCCUUGAUGUUCGAUCUUUUAUCUUCUUCACUUUAUUGGAACCACUUAAAAUCUUUGGAGAAACAUAGGAUCAAUUUCAGUAGUGGUUUACACCAUUGUAAGGUCUCUGGUGGUACAACUUCUUCCCAGGGGGAGUGAGUUAUGGCAAUGCAAAGUGGCUAUAGUCCAUUUUCAGAUGGUUGUAUGUUUAUGGGAGUGGGGGGAGAGGGGUUCACUGUGACCCACCAAAGUGGGUGAUGCUGUCUGAAAAUUAAUAUGCUUUGGACUGUGGGAGAUUCUCUGCCUCUGUGAGGAAGGAUCUGCCUACAGUUUUCCAGUGGAACUGAAAAUCUCCUUCCUUCCAGCAGAACAUUUGUGGGGGGAAAAAAGCAAUGGUAACAGUGCCAGCCCUCCACUGAUAUAAAUCUCUCCUACGAUGGCUAGGUCUUUACUUCAUUGCAUCUAGCUUGGUGCUUAUAUAUAUAGUUACUUGCAAAUAUAGUAUCUGGAACAUUUAGUUACGCAAGUAUUAAUUGACAAAAUUCCCUGUUCUUGACAUACUUUGAAAUCUGCUACACAAACUUGUGGUGCUUGCUACUUUUGUCAGGUCAGGGGUUUUCCAGGAAUAGCAAAAAUACCCUUUGACAUUAAAAGAAAUGAAACUUAUUGGUCCUGAUAAAGAUUUUUGUUUGAGUUGCACUUAAUCACUAACUGCAUUGGUUUCACAUACUUCUUUGCUCCUACAUAUCUUUAUAAGUGGUGGUUAUGGUGAUGCAUUUUGCAUACAGUGUAUUUCCAUUCACCUCCCUGUUGCCACUUUUAUCAACACACCCAUCAUGUAUUUAAAUGUGACCGCUGCUAUCCUGAUUAGAUUUGGAAUGUGGUGAUUACACAUUUCACAUUUUCUCACACAUUUACUUUUUCACUCACAAAGAUGUGUAUUUCACAGCUUGGUUUUGCUUGCGAUCUCUCUCACAGAGUUCACUUCCGAAUUUCACCUCUCAGAUUUUUCAUUUGCUGUUAUAAUUGCUGCUGCCUCACAUAUAUCAAUUCCAUAGAAUUAAAAUUUUGCUCAUGUAACUUUCUAGCCUCAUCGUGUGUAAUUCUCCCUCCCCACCACUGCUAUUAUGUUACAAACAGUGACCUCCCAGAAAGCACAUACAAAUCUUCAGCCAUUCAGAUGGCUUAACUGACUGAACAUUAGUGCCCUUCCCCAAAAGAGGUGUCGUGUUGGGGAGCGUAAUGUUUAGCAAUCCUGUGACAGCAGUGAACAGGCUGAGAAUUCCACUCUCAGGUAGCAAUGUACCAUCAUUUUUCCUUACCUCUUUUUGUGACUGUGUGAGUUUCCACAUCACUUAUUGUUCAGUCAAAUUAAAAUGCAUGACGUGGUGUAAUAUCCGGUCAGCCACCCUGAAGAGAACUAUUGCUGGAUGUCAGAAUGGUGCUACAGCAUUUAUGCAAUUUUUAUUUAGUAAAAGAUUGCAUAUUGUGAACAUACAUCGUGGAAUUAUACAGACUAUUACAAACAUUUGGGUUACAUUAAUUAAUCCCACUCUAUUGAAAUGUAUGAGUUGGAGUAAAAAAUCAGAUAUACAAAAGCAAAUUAUUUCUUGUUCGGAUCUCCUGAAAUACAUUUACUGCUUGCUUUUUAGGAGUUGUCAGUUGAGCAUUGAACUAGAAAGCCACAUUGCAGCGUAGGCCCAAAAUUCCUCAAUGAAGACCUGCAGAACCACCACAUUCUAUCACAGAUUGU